This 379-nucleotide ribosomal RNA is filed under the name uncultured Methanosaeta sp. RNAcentral describes it as "bacterial SSU rRNA". It matches the Rfam family "Archaeal small subunit ribosomal RNA", at positions 960 to 1338 of the family's 1478-position model. The record is from RNAcentral. Lineage: Archaea; Methanobacteriati; Methanobacteriota; Methanomicrobia; Methanotrichales; Methanotrichaceae.
UGAAGACUUUGCCGGAUUAGCUGAGAGGUGGUGCAUGGCCGUCGUCAGUUCGUACUGUGAAGCAUCCUGUUAAGUCAGGCAACGAGCGAGACCCACGCCCACAGUUGCCAGCGUACUCUCUGGAGUGACGGGUACACUGUGGGGACCGCCGCUGCUAAAGCGGAGGAAGGAAUGGGCAACGGUAGGUCAGUAUGCCCCGAAUAUCCCGGGCUACACGCGAGCUACAAUGGUUGGUACAAUGGGUAUCUACCCCGAAAGGGGACGGGAAUCUCCUAAAACCAAUCUUAGUUCGGAUUGAGGGCUGCAACUCGCCCUCAUGAAGCUGGAAUCCGUAGUAAUCGCGUUUCAAAAUAGCGCGGUGAAUAUGUCCCUGCUCCUU